This 503-nucleotide ribosomal RNA is filed under the name uncultured bacterium. Its description in RNAcentral is "partial 16S ribosomal RNA". It matches the Rfam family "Bacterial small subunit ribosomal RNA", at positions 899 to 1397 of the family's 1533-position model. The record is from RNAcentral.
ACUCAAAGGAAUUGACGGGGGCCCGCACAAGCGGUGGAGCAUGUUGUUUAAUACGUCACUAACCGUAGAACCUUACCAGGGCUUGACAUCUGCUGACUGCCGGUGAAAGCCGGUUUCUGGAGCAAUCCAGCAGCAAGACAGGUGUUGCAUGGCUGUCGUCAGCUCGUGUCGUGAGAUGUUGGGUUAAGUCCCGCAACGAGCGCAACCCUCACGCGAUGUUGCCAGCGGGUAAUGCCGGGAACUCUUCGUGAACUGCCUGGGUAACCGGGAGGAAGGUGGGGAUGACGUCAAGUCAGCAUGGCCCUUACGCCCUGGGCUACAAACAUGCUACAAUGGACGGUAGACAGAGCGAUCCGAGACCGCGAGGUGGAGGCAAUCGCAAAAAUCCGUUCUCAGUUCGGAUUGCAGGCUGCAACUCGCCUGCAUGAAGUCGGAAUCGCUAGUAACCGCAGAUCAGCUAAGCUGCGGUGAAUACGUUCCCGGGCCUUGUACACACCGCCCGU